Molecule: ribosomal RNA, 615 nt
Filed under: uncultured Acinetobacter sp.
Lineage: Bacteria; Pseudomonadati; Pseudomonadota; Gammaproteobacteria; Moraxellales; Moraxellaceae
Description: bacterial SSU rRNA
Rfam family: Bacterial small subunit ribosomal RNA
Source: RNAcentral
UGACGCUGGCGGCAGGCUUAACACAUGCAAGUCGAGCGGGCGAAGGUUGCUUCGGUAACUGAGCUAGCGGCGGACGGGUGAGUAAUGCUUAGGAAUCUGCCUAUUAGUGGGGGACAACAUUCCGAAAGGAAUGCUAAUACCGCAUACGCCCUACGGGGGAAAGCAGGGGAUCUUCGGACCUUGCGCUAAUAGAUGAGCCUAAGUCAGAUUAGCUAGUUGGUGGGGUAAAGGCCUACCAAGGCGACGAUCUGUAGCGGGUCUGAGAGGAUGAUCCGCCACACUGGGACUGAGACACGGCCCAGACUCCUACGGGAGGCAGCAGUGGGGAAUAUUGGACAAUGGGCGCAAGCCUGAUCCAGCCAUGCCGCGUGUGUGAAGAAGGCCUUUUGGUUGUAAAGCACUUUAAGCGAGGAGGAGGCUACUUGGAUUAAUACUCUAGGAUAGUGGACGUUACUCGCAGAAUAAGCACCGGCUAACUCUGUGCCAGCAGCCGCGGUAAUACAGAGGGUGCGAGCGUUAAUCGGAUUUACUGGGCGUAAAGCGUGCGUAGGCGGCUUCUUAAAGUCGGAUGUGAAAUCCCUGAGCUUAACUUAGGAAUUGCAUUCGAUACUGGGA